Molecule: ribosomal RNA, 269 nt
Filed under: uncultured bacterium
Lineage: Bacteria
Description: partial 16S ribosomal RNA
Rfam family: Bacterial small subunit ribosomal RNA
Source: RNAcentral
CGUAAACAGAGGGAAGCGAGCCCGCGAGGGGGAGCGAAUCCCAAAAAUAAACGUCCCAGUUCGGAUUGUAGUCUGCAACCCGACUACAUGAAGCUGGAAUCGCUAGUAAUCGCGGAUCAGAAUGCCGCGGUGAAUACGUUCCCGGGUCUUGUACACACCGCCCGUCACACCAUGGGAGUCGGAAAUGCCCGAAGUCUGUGACCCCAACCGAAAGGAGGGAGCAGCCGAAGGCAGGUCGGAUGACUGGGGUGAAGUCGUAACAAGGUACC